GCUCCCAUAGCUUAAGGGUAAAGCAGCCGUUUUAUAAGCGGUAUUAGCGCCAGAUUAGCGCGAGAUGAAGGUUCGAAUCCUUCUGGGAGUACCA
This 94-nucleotide transfer RNA is filed under the name Gammaproteobacteria bacterium. RNAcentral's name for it is "tRNA-Ile". It matches the Rfam family "tRNA". Rfam says of the family: Transfer RNA (tRNA) molecules are approximately 80 nucleotides in length. Their secondary structure includes four short double-helical elements and three loops (D, anti-codon, and T loops). Lineage: Bacteria; Pseudomonadati; Pseudomonadota; Gammaproteobacteria. The record is from RNAcentral.